GACGAACCGUGCGAACGUUAUUCGGAAUCACUGGGCUUAAAGCGCGUGUAGGCGGUCUCGCAAGUCGGGUGUGAAAGCCCAGGGCUCAACCCUGGAAGUGCAUUCGAUACUGCGAGGCUAGAGUCCCGGAGAGGAUGGUGGAACUCUCGGUGUAGAGGUGAAAUUCGUAGAUAUCGAGAAGAACACCGGUGGCGAAGGCGGCCAUCUGGACGGUGACUGACGCUGAGACGCGAAAGCGUGGGGAGCAAACAGG
This 253-nucleotide ribosomal RNA is filed under the name uncultured bacterium. RNAcentral's name for it is "partial 16S ribosomal RNA". It matches the Rfam family "Bacterial small subunit ribosomal RNA", at positions 524 to 776 of the family's 1533-position model. The record is from RNAcentral.